RNAcentral lists this ribosomal RNA (207 nucleotides) under uncultured bacterium. Its description in RNAcentral is "partial 16S ribosomal RNA". It matches the Rfam family "Bacterial small subunit ribosomal RNA", at positions 568 to 774 of the family's 1533-position model. The record is from RNAcentral.
CGCGUAGGUGGUUUGUUAAGUUGGAUGUGAAAGCCCCGGGCUCAACCUGGGAACUGCAUCCAAAACUGGCAAGCUAGAGUACGGUAGAGGGUGGUGGAAUUUCCUGUGUAGCGGUGGAAUGCGCAGAUAUCAGGAGGAACACCGAUGGCGAAGGCAGAUCUCUGGGCCGCUACUGACGCUGAGGAGCGAAAGCAUGGGGAGCGAACA